CGAGCGGCAGCGCGGGGGCAACCCUGGCGGCGAGCGGCGAACGGGUGAGUAACACAUCGGAACGUACCCAGUUGUGGGGGAUAGCCCGGCGAAAGCCGGAUUAAUACCGCAUACGACCUGAGGGCGAAAGGGGGGGAUCGCAAGACCCCUCGCAGUUGGAGCGGCCGAUGGCGGAUUAGCUAGUUGGUGAGGUAAAGGCUCACCAAGGCGACGAUCCGUAGCUGGUCUGAGAGGACGACCAGCCACACUGGAACUGAGACACGGUCCAGACUCCUACGGGAGGCAGCAGUGGGGAAUUUUGGACAAUGGGGGCAACCCUGAUCCAGCCAUUCCGCGUGAGUGAAGAAGGCCUUCGGGUUGUAAAGCUCUUUCGGCAGGAACGAAACGGUGGAGGUUAAUACCUUUCAUCAAUGACGGUACCUGAAGAAGAAGCACCGGCUAACUACGUGCCAGCAGCCGCGGUAAUACGUAGGGUGCGAGCGUUAAUCGGAAUUACUGGGCGUAAAGCGUGCGCAGGCGGUUCUAUAAGACAGAUGUGAAAUCCCCGGGCUUAACCUGGGAACUGCGUUUGUGACUGUAGGACUCGAGUGUGGCAGAGGGGGGUGGAAUUCCACGUGUAGCAGUGAAAUGCGUAGAGAUGUGGAGGAACACCGAUGGCGAAGGCAGCCCCCUGGGUUAACACUGACGCUCAUGCACGAAAGCGUGGGGAGCAAACAGGAUUAGAUACCCUGGUAG
This 735-nucleotide ribosomal RNA is filed under the name uncultured bacterium. Its description in RNAcentral is "bacterial SSU rRNA". It matches the Rfam family "Bacterial small subunit ribosomal RNA", at positions 63 to 793 of the family's 1533-position model. The record is from RNAcentral.